GAGGGUAUAGCUCAAGUGGUAGAGUGUGUGCUUAGCAUGCUCGAGGUCCUGGGUUCAAUCCUCAGUACCUCUU
RNAcentral lists this transfer RNA (73 nucleotides) under Camelus bactrianus (Bactrian camel). It matches the Rfam family "tRNA". From Rfam's summary of the family: Transfer RNA (tRNA) molecules are approximately 80 nucleotides in length. Their secondary structure includes four short double-helical elements and three loops (D, anti-codon, and T loops). RNAcentral also lists the same sequence under 1 other name. The record is from Rfam by way of RNAcentral. Lineage: Eukaryota; Metazoa; Chordata; Mammalia; Artiodactyla; Camelidae.